Molecule: ribosomal RNA, 634 nt
Filed under: Cladocarpus paraformosus
Lineage: Eukaryota; Metazoa; Cnidaria; Hydrozoa; Leptothecata; Aglaopheniidae
Description: partial 16S ribosomal RNA
Rfam family: Bacterial large subunit ribosomal RNA
Source: RNAcentral
UUCGACUGUUUACCAAAAACAUAGCCCUUGCAUUUAUCGAAGGUGCCGCCUGCCCAAUGAUCAAAACAAAUAUUUAAAGAACACAUAUUAAAUAAAAAUAGGAUUGAAUGGCUGCAGUAACUAUGACUGUAUGAAUGUAGCAUAAUCACUCGCCACUUAAUUGGUGGAUAGUAUGAAUGGCUCCACGAAAAUCUCACUGUCUUAUAAAAUAAUAAAAAAAUUAAACUAAUAGUUAAGAUGCUAUUUAAAAUUGUAAGACGAAAAGACCCUAUAAAGCUUAACUAUAACCCCUUUUUAUUUUAUUAAACCGAUAAAUUCAAUUAAGGGGAUGGUAGUUUCAUUGGGGCGAUGGUCUCUAAAAAAAAACAGAGACAAACAAAAGUAAUAAGAAAAUUUACUGUUUAAUCCAUUAAUUUAACAGUUAUAAAGUAGGUUAUAAUGACCCAUUAAAACCAUUAAAAACUGUUUAAUGAUCAAAAGACAAAAGCUACUUUAGGGAUAACAGGACAAUCUUGUCCAAGAGCCCGUAUCAAAGACAAGGUUUAUCACCUCGAUGUUGAAUUGAGAUAACCUAACGGAGCAGAAUCCGUUGAAGGUAGGUCUGUUCGACCUUGAAAAUCUCACAUGAUUUGAG